Molecule: ribosomal RNA, 112 nt
Filed under: Salvator merianae (Argentine black and white tegu)
Lineage: Eukaryota; Metazoa; Chordata; Lepidosauria; Squamata; Teiidae
Source: RNAcentral
AGCUUUUAGUUUGCCACUUGCUGAUCUCGCCUGACUGCAGAAGCUAAGCAGGGUCAGGGUUGGUUAAUACUUGGAUGGAAGACAACCUGGAAAUACCAAGUCCUGGAGGCUA